The sequence is a ribosomal RNA, 652 nucleotides long. The stretch from base 245 to 398 matches the Rfam family "5.8S ribosomal RNA".
UCGUAGCGACUGCGGAGGACAUUAAUGAAUUUUGAAAGGGGUUGUAGCUGGCCGUCUCUUUGGGGCGGCAUGGGGACCCCCUGGUCACUAUCCCUCCCACACCCCUGGGGACACCCUGGAAGGUGGCUUGGGAUUGGAACUUACAGUCUUCAUUGACUUUGCUCUGGUUGGAGGCCCUCCUAUGUAUUAUCACAAACUACUUCAGUUUAAAGAAUGUACUCUUGCGUCUAACGCAUUUAAAUACAACUUUCAGCAACGGAUCUCUUGGCUCUCGCAUCGAUGAAGAACGCAGCGAAAUGCGAUAAGUAAUGUGAAUUGCAGAAUUCAGUGAAUCAUCGAAUCUUUGAACGCACCUUGCGCUCCUUGGUAUUCCGAGGAGCAUGCCUGUUUGAGUGUCAUGGAAUUCUCAACUCUAUUUGCUUUUGUGAAUAGAGCUUGGAUUUGGAGGUUUAUUGCUGGUACUUGUGAUCGGCUCCUCUUGAAUGCAUUAGCUCGAACCUUUGCGGAUCAGCUAUCGGUGUGAUAAUUGUCUACGCCGUUGCAGUGAAGCAUAUCAAUGGGCUCGGCUUCCAAUCGUCCUUUACUGGACAAUGACUUUGACCUCUGACCUCAAAUCAGGUAGGAUUACCCGCUGAACUUAAGCAUAUCAAAA